UCACGUCCUCGUAGAAGGACACCACCGC
Molecule: small RNA, 28 nt
Filed under: Bombyx mori (domestic silkworm)
Lineage: Eukaryota; Metazoa; Arthropoda; Insecta; Lepidoptera; Bombycidae
Description: ovarian small RNA-25326
Source: RNAcentral